ACGAAGGCAGCAGUGGGGAAUAUUGGGCAAUGGGCGCAAGCCUGACCCAGCGACGCCGCGUGAGGGAAGAAGGUCUUCGGAUUGUAAACCUCUUUCAGCAGGGAAGAAGCAAGUGACGGUACCUGCAGAAGAAGUCACGGCUAACUACGUGCCAGCAGCCGCGGUAAUACGUAGGUGGCGAGCGUUAUCCGGAAUUACUGGGUGUAAAGGGUGUGUAGGCGGAGAAGCAAGUCAGGCGUGAAAUUUAUGGGCUCAACUCAUAAACUGCGCUUGAAACUGUUUCCCUUGAGAGUGGGAGAGGUAAACGGAAUUCCUGGUGUAGUAGUGAAAUGCGUAGAUAUCAGGAGGAACACCGGUGGCGAAGGCGGUUUACUGGACCACAACUGACGCUGAGACACGAAAGCGUGGGGAGCAAACAGGAUUAGAUACCCUGGUA
This 436-nucleotide ribosomal RNA is filed under the name uncultured Oscillospiraceae bacterium. RNAcentral describes it as "partial 16S ribosomal RNA". It matches the Rfam family "Bacterial small subunit ribosomal RNA", at positions 341 to 792 of the family's 1533-position model. Lineage: Bacteria; Bacillati; Bacillota; Clostridia; Eubacteriales; Oscillospiraceae. The record is from RNAcentral.